CGGAAAGCGCCGCAAUUCCGGGGAAUUCGGCGCUUGCACUUGACUGGGGGUCAAGGGGUCGCAGGUUCAAAUCCUGUCGUCCCGACCA
This 88-nucleotide transfer RNA is filed under the name Streptomyces javensis. Its description in RNAcentral is "tRNA-Pro". RNAcentral also lists the same sequence under 1 other name. The record is from RNAcentral. Lineage: Bacteria; Bacillati; Actinomycetota; Actinomycetes; Kitasatosporales; Streptomycetaceae.